GAUGAACGCUAGCAGUAUGCCUUAUACAUGCAUGUCGAACGAAGUGCUUUAUGCACUUAGUGGCAAAUGGGUGAGUAACACGUACUUAACCUACCUUUUAGAUUGGAAUAACCAUGAGAAAUCGUGGAUAAUACCGAAUAUGAUUUAUUUCGCAUGAAAUUAUUUUGAAAGAAGCGUUUGCUUCGCUAAAAGAUGGGGGUGCGCGACAUUAGUUUGUUGGUAGGGUAAAGGCCUACCAAGACUAUGAUGUCUAGCCGAGCUGAGAGGCUGACCGGCCACAUUGGGACUGAGAUACGGGCCCAGACCGCUACGGUGGGGGCAGCAGUAGGGAAUUUUUUCACAAUGAACGAAAGUUUGAUGGAGCAAUACUGUGUGCAGGAAGAAAGGUCUUCGGAUUGUAAAACUGCUGUCGUAAGGAAAGAAAAGCUUUUAGAGGAAAUGCUAAAAAGUUUGACGGUACUUUAUAAGAAAAGUUCAACGGCUAACUAUAGUGCCAGCAGCCGCGGUAAA
This 510-nucleotide ribosomal RNA is filed under the name uncultured bacterium. Its description in RNAcentral is "bacterial SSU rRNA". It matches the Rfam family "Bacterial small subunit ribosomal RNA", at positions 28 to 524 of the family's 1533-position model. The record is from RNAcentral.